UAAAAAGCGAUGAUCAAGAACCAGUAACAGUUUUACCAAAUCCUUCAGAGAGCCUUCGGCCGGUGAAAGAAGGCAGGAUACGGUAUUGUGAAUUCAUCUUGGGAGCUGUGCGCUCAAAGGCAAAUGCCCUGUAGGUGGCUUCGGGAUCCGCCCGUUAUAGUGGAAGAACAAUAUUGGUUGUUCGUGUGAGAUUGUGCAAACAAUGAAGCAAGGUGGUACCGCGAUAUGAAUUCGCCCCUGUA
RNAcentral lists this non-coding RNA (242 nucleotides) under Ruminiclostridium cellobioparum subsp. termitidis. Its description in RNAcentral is "Clostridium termitidis T-box sequence". It matches the Rfam family "T-box leader". From Rfam's summary of the family: Uncharged tRNA acts as the effector for transcription antitermination of genes in the T-box leader family. T-boxes are found upstream of many aminoacyl-tRNA synthetase genes and some amino acid biosynthetic genes usually in Gram-positive bacteria. The record is from RNAcentral. Lineage: Bacteria; Bacillati; Bacillota; Clostridia; Eubacteriales; Oscillospiraceae.